Molecule: long non-coding RNA, 818 nt
Organism: Solea solea (common sole)
Lineage: Eukaryota; Metazoa; Chordata; Actinopteri; Pleuronectiformes; Soleidae
Exons: 2
Source: RefSeq, a predicted model, not a curated record
UUAGCUCCAGACGAGUUAGCUUUAGGGUUAGUGUUAGCUCCAGGUGAGUUAGCUCUAGUGUUAUCUCCAGAUGAGUUAGCUCUAGUGUUAGCUCCAGAUGAGUAAGCUCUAGUGUUAGCUCCAGAUGAGUUAGCGCUAGCGUUAAUGUGAAUUUUUUACGCAUUUAAUUUGCGUAAAUAAUCACAAAAUCAUGCAAGAAACGCGACACAGAAAAUCUGUUUGCGUUGAUUUAAUUCCGUCCUGCGAAGUUUCCUCGACCAUAAAGGAGUUAGUUUCCUGUCCCUGAACGUCUCACAGGGUUUUAUCAGCGGACACAAACUGUUUUUCUUUGUUUCUUUUGUAUUUUUUGUGAUUUUUAUGUUUAGUUUUAUUUAAACGUGGCAGUGAGACGCAGAGCAGACACCCGUCCGUGUCCCUCUUGAAGACAUCUCUUCUUGUCUCUGGUCCACAUUCAGACAAAAGACCACUGUUUGAGUGCCUUUAUCCAGGUGUGAAGUCGUGUUUUUCCUCUCAUUACUGAAGCUCAGUCAUUCCACCACUUUAAUCCACACUUUUAAAGAACGAGAAAAUCACCGCCGUCGUUCUCUCUGUGUCCUCUCUCACCAUAAUGGAUGUGUAUAUAUCUGUGAUUAUUUAUGAAUACAGUAUAUAGAUAUAUAUAAAUAUAAUGUACAGCAUGAUUUUUAUUUCAUCGUAUUUGAAAAAAAUGUCCUUUUGCACUUUCCAGGUACUAAAUAGUUUUAACUGGGCUCAUUAAUCUGUACAAAAGCUUUGUAUACACAUGUGGAAAUGAUCAUUAAAGUCUGUUCUGAACUCAU